UUGAAAUCAUCUUCAUCAACCUCUUCAUGAUUUCCAUCCAAAUCCUUGAUAAGCCCUGUUAUUAAUUCAAAUAAUGCCUCAACCUUGUCGGCAGUAGAAAUUCGUGUGUUGUUUUUCAUAAUACUUUGAAUUAUGACAGUUGCCAUGAUUUUAUUCGUUUCAUUGUCAAGGUAUUCCAUGACAUGGUGGUAGUUUGAAAGCUUCAAUGCAGUGACAACAUCAUUAUAUUUCUCCAAUGGAGCACUUAAAAGUGCUACAAUUUGUUUCGUGGCUCUGCUGUCUUCAAGCUUUCCUUUGCUUGAUAAUUUCUU
RNAcentral lists this unclassified non-coding RNA (311 nucleotides) under Hevea brasiliensis (rubber tree). The record is from RNAcentral. Lineage: Eukaryota; Viridiplantae; Streptophyta; Magnoliopsida; Malpighiales; Euphorbiaceae.